Molecule: ribosomal RNA, 253 nt
Filed under: uncultured bacterium
Lineage: Bacteria
Description: partial 16S ribosomal RNA
Rfam family: Bacterial small subunit ribosomal RNA
Source: RNAcentral
UACGUAGGAGGCUAGCGUUGUCCGGAAUCAUUGGGCGUAAAGCGCGCGUAGGCGGUCAGGUAAGUCCGGUGUGAAAGUCAAAGGCUCAACCUUUGAAUGCCGCUGGAUACUGCCUGACUUGAGUCCGGAAGGGGCGAGUGGAACUCCUGGUGUAGCGGUGGAAUGCGCAGAUAUCAGGAAGAACACCAACGGCGAAGGCAGCUCGCUGGGACGGUACUGACGCUGAGACGCGAAAGCGUGGGGAGCGAACAGG